RNAcentral lists this unclassified non-coding RNA (392 nucleotides) under rhizosphere metagenome. RNAcentral describes it as "partial ribosomal RNA internal transcribed spacer region". The record is from RNAcentral.
GUAGGUGAACCUGCGGAAGGAUCAUUAACACUUUUGUUCCAACUAACAAUAUCAACCAACCCGUGAACCUGUUUCGAGCCGGUCAGCGCUGGUGGGGUUGCUCUACAUGGUCUGUGAUAGGAUUCGUUCUAUCUCGUAGGGUAGCCUGGAGCGGGAGCUCGCCUUCUCUGACUUGGUGUUUUUUCCCUUCAAUUUGCCAUGUCAUUGGCCUUACCCCGGGUCAUGUCAUGGUGGGAUCCUUCUAUUUUAUUAACCCUAUUAACCCUUUAUAUCUUUGCCAAUGUGCUGAAUUUCAUUCCUUUGUAGCGCUUCGUCGAAAGGCGAUUCCUGCUCUCUGGAAUGGUUGUAUACGAAAUGUAGUACAACUCUUAGCAAUGGAUAUCUUGGUUCUC